UACGUAGGGUGCGAGCGUUGUCCGGAAUUAUUGGGCGUAAAGAGCUCGUAGGCGGUCUGUCGCGUCCGUUGUGAAAACUCGAGGCUCAACCUCGGGCUUGCAGUGGAUACGGGCAGACUAGAGUGCGGUAGGGGAGACUGGAAUUCCUGGUGUAGCGGUGGAAUGCGCAGAUAUCAGGAAGAACACCAAUGGCGAAAGCAGCUUUCUGGGACGGUACUGACGCUGAGACGCGAAAGCGUGGGGAGCGAACAGG
Molecule: ribosomal RNA, 253 nt
Filed under: uncultured bacterium
Lineage: Bacteria
Description: partial 16S ribosomal RNA
Rfam family: Bacterial small subunit ribosomal RNA
Source: RNAcentral